UACGUAGGGGGCUAGCGUUAUCCAGAAUUACUGGGCGUAAAGCGCGUGUAGGCGGCUGGUUAAGUGUGAUGUGAAAUCCUCGGGCUCAACCCGAGAACUGCAUUGCAAACUGGCCUGGCUAGAGUGCAGGAGAGGGAAGCGGAAUUCCAGGUGUAGCGGUGAAAUGCGCAGAUAUCAGGAGGAACACCCGUGGCGAAGGCGGCUCUCUGGGACGGUACUGGCGCUGAGACGCGAAAGCGUGGGGAGCGAACAGG
This 254-nucleotide ribosomal RNA is filed under the name uncultured bacterium. RNAcentral describes it as "partial 16S ribosomal RNA". It matches the Rfam family "Bacterial small subunit ribosomal RNA", at positions 524 to 776 of the family's 1533-position model. The record is from RNAcentral.